Molecule: ribosomal RNA, 644 nt
Filed under: Polysporina sp.
Lineage: Eukaryota; Fungi; Ascomycota; Lecanoromycetes; Acarosporales; Acarosporaceae
Description: SSU rRNA
Rfam family: Bacterial small subunit ribosomal RNA
Source: RNAcentral
GCUAGUUGUAUUAUUAGUUAAUGCAAGAUCGACUACGUCGACUAAAGUUCUAGGUAGAAUAAUGAUGAUGACAAUUUUUUACCUAUAUGUCUUGACCAAGUCUCGUGCCAGCAGUCGCGGUAAUACGUGGAAGACUAGUGUUAUUCAUCUUUAUUAGGUUUAAAGGGUACCUAGACGGUAUUUCUAGCCCAAAAUAGGGUACGGAUUUACUAGAGUUUUAUGUGAGAAGGGGAGUACUCGUGGAGUAGAGAUGAAAUUUUGUUAUACUAUGAGGUAACUGGUGGCGGCGAAAGCAACCUUCUAUGUAUAAACUGACGUUGAGGGACGAAGGCUUGGGUAGCAAAUAGGAUUAGAUACCCUAGUAGUCCAAGCAGACAAUUCUGAAUGCCAUAGAUUAGAUUAUUUUUGGUCUAUAAAUGAAAGUGUAAGCAUUCCACCUUAGGAGUAAUGUGGCAACACAGGAACUGAAAUCAUUAGACCGUUUCUGAAACCAGUAGUGAAGUAUGUUAUUUAAAUUGAUGGUCCACAAAAAACCUUACCACAACUUGAAUAUUUUUAAAUUAAUACAAGAGUUGCACGGCUGUCUUCAGUUAAUGUCGUGAGAUUUUGGUUAACUCCAUUAAUUAACGUAAACCCUUACUUUA